GUGAGCCUUAAGGGAGGUGAGGAUUCCAAGUCUGGUUGUGUGGGUUUGAGCUCCAGGACAGCUCCCUUUAGUACAAAUAUUGCUUCCCCUCUACACCUCUCCACCCUUCUCCAGAGAUUCUAAUCCUCAGAGGCUUCUGACCUUGAUGUGUUGUCCAAAGGGUUGGGUUGGGGGGCUGAGGAGGAGUGAAGCUGUCUGUUCACCAGGUAACCUUGGACAAGCCACUGCCUCCCGGAGGCCUCACCCUCUUGCUCUAUUUCCACAGUUGAAGGGCCAGCUAGAGAUGGUCUCUCACAGCCACAAAAUUAGGUCCCUUCCAUACCACAUCCUCAAUCUCACCAAGCCUGGGCUCCUUCCUGACUCUCACCCGUCCUACUCUUGCCAUCCAUUUCUCUCUCUCUGGUU
Molecule: long non-coding RNA, 405 nt
Filed under: Homo sapiens (human)
Lineage: Eukaryota; Metazoa; Chordata; Mammalia; Primates; Hominidae
Description: HSALNT0095469
Source: RNAcentral